This 439-nucleotide ribosomal RNA is filed under the name uncultured bacterium. RNAcentral's name for it is "partial 16S ribosomal RNA". It matches the Rfam family "Bacterial small subunit ribosomal RNA", at positions 339 to 795 of the family's 1533-position model. The record is from RNAcentral.
CUACGGGCGGCUGCAGUGGGGAAUAUUGCACAAUGGAGGAAACUCUGAUGCAGCAACGCCGCGUGGAGGAUGACACUUUUCGGAGCGUAAACUCCUUUUAUAUAGGAAGAAGAUGACGGUACUAUAUGAAUAAGCGCCGGCUAACUCCGUGCCAGCAGCCGCGGUAAUACGGAGGGCGCAAGCGUUACUCGGAAUCACUGGGCGUAAAGAGCGUGUAGGCGGAUUAAAAAGUCAGAAGUGAAAUCCUAUAGCUUAACUAUAGAACUGCUUCUGAAACUCUUAAUCUAGAAUAUGGGAGAGGUAGAUGGGAUUUCUGGUGUAGGGGUAAAAUCCGUAGAGAUCAGAAGGAAUACCGAUUGCGAAGGCGAUCUACUGGAACAUUAUUGACGCUGAGACGCGAAAGCGUGGGGAGCAAACAGGAUUAGAUACCCCAGUAGUC